Molecule: ribosomal RNA, 483 nt
Filed under: uncultured Saprospiraceae bacterium
Lineage: Bacteria; Pseudomonadati; Bacteroidota; Saprospiria; Saprospirales; Saprospiraceae
Description: bacterial SSU rRNA
Rfam family: Bacterial small subunit ribosomal RNA
Source: RNAcentral
GAUGAACGCUAGCGGCAGGCUUAAUACAUGCAAGUCGAGGGGCAGCAUGGGACUUCGGUCCUGAUGGCGACCGGCGCACGGGUGAGUAACGCGUACACAACUUACCUUCAGGAGGGGAAUAGCCCUGGGAAACUGGGAUUAAUGCCCCAUAGUAUAACUUAGACACCUGUCAUAGUUAUUAAAGUUCCGACGCCUGAAGAUGGGUGUGCGUCCUAUUAGCUAGUUGGUAAGGUAACGGCUUACCAAGGCUACGAUAGGUAGGGGGCGUGAGAGCGUGACCCCCCACACGGGUACUGAGACACGGACCCGACUCCUACGGGAGGCAGCAGUAAGGAAUAUUGGACAAUGGGCGCAAGCCUGAUCCAGCCAUGCCGCGUGAAGGAAGAAUGUCCUAGUUGAUUGUAAACUUCUUUUAUAAGAGAAGAAACCCCCCGAUUUAUUGGGGGCUGACGGUAUCUUAUGAAUAAGCACCGGCUAACUCCG